CGCCUGUUUAUCAAAAACAUGUCCUUUUGUUAAUUGUUUAAGGUCUGGCCUGCUCCAUGAGUAUUAAAUAGCCGCAGUAUUUUGACUGUGCAAAGGUAGCAUAAUCAUUAGUUUUUUAAUUGAAAGCUGGAAUGAAUGGUCGGAUGAGGAAUUGACUGUCUCAUAUUGAUUUUAAUAGAAUUUUAUUUUUGAGUUAAAAAGCUUAGAUUUAAUAAAAAGACGAGAAGACCCUAUAGAGUUUAAUAAGUAAAAGUAUACUUAAAUUUAGGUUUUUAUUUUUUAGUGCUUUAUCUUAUUUGGUUGGGGUGACUUAGAAUUGGAUGAAACUUCUUUAUAUUUAAACACUGAUUAGUGAAUGAUUGAUCCUUUCUUUGAGAUUAAAAGAUUAAAUUACCUUAGGGAUAACAGCGUAAUUUUUUCAGAGAGUUCUAAUCGAUGAAAGGGAUUGCGACCUCGAUGUUGGAUUAAAGUUAAUUUUUGGUGCAGAAGCUAAUAUAUUAAGUCUGUUCGACUUUUAAAACUUUACGUGAUCUGAGUUUAGACCGG
RNAcentral lists this ribosomal RNA (546 nucleotides) under Hycleus amoenus. Its description in RNAcentral is "partial 16S ribosomal RNA". It matches the Rfam family "Bacterial large subunit ribosomal RNA", at positions 1797 to 2619 of the family's 2925-position model. Lineage: Eukaryota; Metazoa; Arthropoda; Insecta; Coleoptera; Meloidae. The record is from RNAcentral.